GAUGAACGCUGGCGGCGUGCCUAAUACAUGCAAGUCGAGCGAACAGACGAGGAGCUUGCUCCUCUGACGUUAGCGGCGGACGGGUGAGUAACACGUGGAUAACCUACCUAUAAGACUGGGAUAACUUCGGGAGACCGGAGCUAAUACCGGAUAAUAUAUUGAACCGCAUGGUUCAACAGUGAAAGACGGUUCUGCUGUCACUUAUAGAUGGAUCCGCGCCGCAUUAGCUAGUUGGUAAGGUAACGGCUUACCAAGGCAACGAUGCGUAGCCGACCUGAGAGGGUGAUCGGCCACACUGGAACUGAGACACGGUCCAGACUCCUACGGGAGGCAGCAGUAGGGAAUCUUCCGCAAUGGGCGAAAGCCUGACGGAGCAACGCCGCGUGAGUGAUGAAGGUCUUCGGAUCGUAAAACUCUGUUAUUAGGGAAGAACAAAUGUGUAAGUAACUAUGCACGUCUUGACGGUACCUAAUCAGAAAGCCACGGCUAACUACGUGCCAGCCGCCGCCGUAA
This 513-nucleotide ribosomal RNA is filed under the name uncultured bacterium. Its description in RNAcentral is "partial 16S ribosomal RNA". It matches the Rfam family "Bacterial small subunit ribosomal RNA", at positions 28 to 523 of the family's 1533-position model. The record is from RNAcentral.